GCCUACCAGAAUUGUCGUACGAGUAUUGAUAAGCUUUUCAAAACAAUACUAAUUAAUGAGAUGGUCGACAUAUACUCCGUUCCGAUAAGGAAGAAAGACAUAGUAUGGUAGACGCCUUUGCAGUAAUGCGACAGGCAGGAG
This 141-nucleotide non-coding RNA is filed under the name unclassified sequences. RNAcentral's name for it is "lysM-TM7 RNA". It matches the Rfam family "lysM-TM7 RNA". The record is from RNAcentral.